This 283-nucleotide ribosomal RNA is filed under the name uncultured bacterium. RNAcentral's name for it is "partial 16S ribosomal RNA". It matches the Rfam family "Bacterial small subunit ribosomal RNA", at positions 333 to 612 of the family's 1533-position model. The record is from RNAcentral.
UGCGGCCUACGGGAGGCAGCAGUGAGGAAUAUUGGUCAAUGGGCGCAAGCCUGAACCAGCCAAGUCGCGUGAGGGAUGACGGUCCUAUGGAUUGUAAACCUCUUUUGUCGGGGAGCAAGGCCCGCCACGUGUGGCGGGAAGGAGAGUACCCGAAGAAAAAGCAUCGGCUAACUCCGUGCCAGCAGCCGCGGUAAUACGUAGGGAGCGAGCGUUAUCCGGAUUUAUUGGGGGUAAAGGGGGCGUAGACGGGGAAAUAAGUUAGUUGUGAAAUCCCUCGGCUCAA